ACUCCUACGGGAGGCAUCAGUGAGGAAUAUUGGUCAAUGAGGGAACUCUGAACCAGCCAUCCCGCGUGUAGGAAGACGGCCUUAUGGGUUGUAAACUACUUUUAUACAGAAGAAACGUACCCUCGUGAGGUGCCUGACGGUACUGUAGGAAUAAGCACCGGCUAACUCCGUGCCAGCAGCCGCGGUAAUACGGAGGGGUGCGAGCGUUAUCCGGAUUUAUUGGGUUUAAAGGGUCCGUAGGCGGAUUAAUAAGUCAGUGGUGAAAUCCCAUCGCUUAACGAUGGAACUGCCAUUGAUACUGUUAGUCUUGAAUGAGGGUGCAGUGGUUGGAAUGUGUAGUGUAGCGGUGAAAUGCAUAGAUAUUACACAGAACACCGAUUGCGAAGGCAGAUCACUAACCCUAAAUUGACGCUGAGGGACGAAAGCGUGGGGAGCGAACAGGAUUAGAUACCCUGGUAGCUACGAG
This 466-nucleotide ribosomal RNA is filed under the name uncultured bacterium. RNAcentral describes it as "bacterial SSU rRNA". It matches the Rfam family "Bacterial small subunit ribosomal RNA", at positions 335 to 801 of the family's 1533-position model. The record is from RNAcentral.